AUGCUGCAGCCACGUGGCAUGCUGCAGCUCUUUGUGAGACGAGCUGCUUUCCUGGCAAUCCUGCACCUGCACCCCAGCCUCCUGCUUUCCUAUUGCAGUGAAAAUGCAGCGCUGUUCCUGCUGUGCUCAGUUUGGUGGUUUGCUUUUUUUUUUUUGGUGUUAUUUUCCCAGUCAUCGUCACUGCUGAGUUUUGUUGUUUUUUUUGUUUUACUUUUUUUCAAAAAGAAUUUCAAAUCCACUAGAGGGCAACAUGAUCUGCCAUGGGAGAAGGAGCGAGCCGGGCAUGCUGUGAAUCCUGGCCUGUGAAUCAAGUAUUUGUGGGUGGGAGGCUCUGCCCAUGCACCCCUGCAGAGGUGUGAAUAUUUGGAGAGAAAGCCUGUGCCCGAUGGACACCAAAGGCCUAUCUGUGCAGAAGGUGCGUUUGAGAACAAACCCCUUGCUGGAUAGCUUAUGGAAGCUGCUGCUGCUCCUAGAGCCACCAGCAGAAAAAGAGAU
Molecule: long non-coding RNA, 495 nt
Filed under: Anser cygnoides (Swan goose)
Lineage: Eukaryota; Metazoa; Chordata; Aves; Anseriformes; Anatidae
Description: lncRNA (ENSACDG00005007203.1)
Source: RNAcentral